This is an RNA transcript of Dama dama (fallow deer), 1473 nucleotides long. It is a transcript of the gene named X antigen family member 5-like, with no coding region annotated. The record is from RefSeq and is a predicted model, not a curated record. The transcript has 6 exons. Lineage: Eukaryota; Metazoa; Chordata; Mammalia; Artiodactyla; Cervidae.
CUGACGCCAGACCCCAAAUUAGCAGCCCAGCUCGCUCCGUAGCCGUCCCCCCUUGGAUGUAACCAUGUAGAAGCGAAGGGGUGGAAUUGGAAAAGAGACGAGGACAGCUGCAGCUUAAUACCGGUGUCCACUUGGACUCAGAUGCAGCGGGAAGCCGGAAUGGAGCGAAUGGGGAUGGAGCCAGUGGUGCCAUGGGUGCCUCCGCUGGGAACUCUGGUCGAUGCCCGAGGCGGGGUAAAGGUACUCUCUGUGUUGUCAUAGGCCCUCUCGAAUGGUGCCUUCCAGAGUGGGUGGUCUUACCGCUACCCCUGCGUGGUACAUCCCAGGACCGAACGGUUUCAUCUGGCGCGUCCCUUGGUGGUGAGCCUGGGGAACAGCCGAUGUAGAUGCCGGUGGACCGUUAGAGGAUGGAUGAUCCUCCAAGGGUGGAAGGGCAACGUGAGGAUGAAAACCCCGCGGAUUGCUGCAAUCUUGGACUCGGAAAAAUGUCUCCAUAAACUGAAGAUUACUUCUCUGUAGUGGCCAGUAUCAUAACAGGAAGCAUGGAAAGCAUUUUCUGUGUGCUGGGCAUUGUUCUUGUUUGUGCUUUCCUGUUUAAUACAGAAUAGGUCUCAAUGGGGAAAGCCAGGCACAGUCCCCCAGCGGGCAGGGGAGAGAAAGCUUUGGACUGGGAUCUGAAGGUCUGGGAUGGGGAAGGCCUCUGUCGUUGACUGCGAGUAAUAUGUGAGAAGGACAACAGGACAUUCCAUUCUGUUCGGAAAGGGGUCAACUCCGAGGGAAGCCAAGGAUAGUGCAUAGAGACCCUGCGGUUCCAGGACUCUACCUCAGUGGCGGGAAAACCUCAACCUGCACUGCACACGCCCAACUCAGGGAGCAUGCGCAGUGCGUGCGCACGCGCCUCUUUCUGCGCAUGCGCCUUAGUGCGCAUACGCCUUCCUGAGCGCAUUCUGUGAGAACCGUUGGGCCUGAGCCGGGUGUGUUUAUUCAGUUCCGGUUCAUUCUCACUACUUGAGACUCACCCGGGAGAAAUAUGAGUGGGCAAGUGGCAUCAACAUUGGGACCUACAGGUCAAGAUUCUUCCCAGCUGGAUGAACCUGUGGUUGACCAGCAGCCCAGUGUUGAGCAACCUGAACAAGAGGAAGCACCAGCUGAGAUUCAGGAUAUCACACCUGGAAAGGAGGAAGUCAGUGGAGAGGAUCCAGUGAAUCAUGGUGAAGAGAAGGAGAAGGAUGCCCCUGGAGAUUCUGACCUGGAAACUGAUCUCCAGGAAUUGGCUGUGGCAAAGACUGGGGGUCAAGGCGGAGAUGGUCCUGAUGUCAAGGAGGAGAUUGCAUCAAAUACAGAGACUGUUGAAAUGCCAGAGGAGGUGAAGGGGAACCAUUUGCUUGAAAGAAGAUAAACUGAAACCAUCUAUGCUGUUCUUAUGCUGUUUAUUUGACUGUUAAAGUUCUGUCAAUAAAGUUUCAUUUUCUA